AUUGAACGCUAGCGGGAUGCCUUACACAUGCAAGUCGAACGGCAGCAUAAGAGAGCUUGCUCUCUUGAUGGCGAGUGGCGAACGGGUGAGUAACGCGUACCGAACCUGCCUCAUACUCGGGAAUAGCCUUGCGAAAGGAAGAUUAAUACCGCAUAAUAUUGUAGUUUCGCAUGAGACAACAAUUAAAGAUUUAUCGCUAUAAGAUGGACCCGCGGCGCAUUAGCUAGUUGGUGGGGUAACGGCCUACCAAGGCGACGAUGCGUAGCCGACCUGAGAGGGUGAUCGGCCACAUUGGGACUGAGACACGGCCCAG
Molecule: ribosomal RNA, 313 nt
Filed under: uncultured bacterium
Lineage: Bacteria
Description: bacterial SSU rRNA
Rfam family: Bacterial small subunit ribosomal RNA
Source: RNAcentral